ACACUUCAUCAGUAACACAUAAUUAUUCAUUUAUAAGUAUAAAUCUUUCUCCUUCUUAGCAACGUCACGGCUCGCAAUUAUGCUUUCUAUUUCACCUUUGCACUUAUUGUAAUUUCUGUUUAUAUGGCGCAGUGUCCAAAUGUGAAAGUGAUUGGUGCAAGGGAGCCGUUUAAAGUACUUAAUGGAGCAAAGAUGAUGGGACUUUGUGGUGGAUAUUGUAGGUCGAGCUCUGACUGCUUUUCUAGGUCAUGUCCCCGUUGUUACUAUGAUGUUAUUAACCUUACCUACGGCUGCCAUGCUUGAAGGAUUAUGGGCUAUGGUCACCACAAAUAAAAAUAAUAUCGAGUAAAUUGAUGUUAUUUGUCUUUAUUUUUCUUAUCGUAGAAUAAUAAAAUGGCUCAUCAAGACAAUGUGCGAUCAAUGUAAUAUCAAGAUGGGGUUGUCUUGGCACUUCUAUUUGUACUCGUAAUUUUGAAUGAAAUAUUAUGAUCAUUUUAUUUGCU
Molecule: long non-coding RNA, 503 nt
Organism: Solanum lycopersicum (tomato)
Lineage: Eukaryota; Viridiplantae; Streptophyta; Magnoliopsida; Solanales; Solanaceae
Source: RefSeq, a predicted model, not a curated record